This is a long non-coding RNA of Sander lucioperca (pikeperch), 1399 nucleotides long. RefSeq lists it as uncharacterized. The record is from RefSeq and is a predicted model, not a curated record. The transcript has 3 exons. Lineage: Eukaryota; Metazoa; Chordata; Actinopteri; Perciformes; Percidae.
CAGACCUGUAAACCUCGGAGGAGUCGUCGUCACCGUGCUGCGCCGAGAGUGUUUGUGACGGUGAAGGCCGGGGCCGGAGUGAGGGGCAGCUGCCAAUGCUGGAACCUGUGUGACAGUUGUAAAUGACUGGCCCGAUCGUCUCCUUGUAGUAAUUAUCUAAAUGGGCUCAUUCAAAACCUCUUCAUUGUGGAAUCAGUUAAUUAAUUAGCUGUUUCACUGACAGGAUAAUGCAUCUAUAACAGACACCCAUCUACUCACUGGAAAUCCCCCCACAAGAUACAAAGCUGCUGAUAAGGCAACGAAAUGUGGAUGUCGAGUCGAGAAGAAAGUGAUAUCUGGCAGAACAGGUGUUCAGAAGCUCCGGGUUGGCUGCCUCCAGUGGGACAGAGGUGUUGGUGGGCUGAGCAGAAGGAGACGGGAGCGGAGAAAGAUGGAGGGGAAAGAGAGAGUCCCUCAGGCGUGUCCGGGCUCUGAUGGCUCCCCUGACAACCUCCUCUGUAAUGGUCUCCCUCUCUCUCUCUGAGUGCUGUGAAAUUGCAGGCCGGCGCUCUACAGCUGAGGACUCCGAGGAGACAAACGGCCUUUUAAUUCAGAGCGCAGAGAGGUGACGGAGAGGGAGGCCCUAAGGGAGGGCUACCAGUCAGACAUCCAUCAUACUAACCUCUCCCUUGGGACUGGCCCUGCCAGAGAGGGGCCCUGGAGGUGGUCUUGAGCGUACAUGUGUGCGAGCGUGUAUGCGUGCGCACGCGUCUUUGGGGUUGGGGUGACACCGCAUGCAUGGAACGGCAGCUGCAGGGGAGGGAGGAGGAGAAGUCUGCUCAGGUGUCCAUGCUGUCAAGGUGCAGAGUGGAGAGGGGUGGAGCAGUGAAGGUGGGAGGUGUUUUUUUAAUUUUUUUAUUUUCUUAUUUUCUCUCCAUGUCUGACAUUUAUCUAUGCACCUGCUUUUUUAUUUAUUUAUAUUUCUAUCUUUUUCCCUUUUAUGGCUUCAUUUCAGCUCAAAAUGCACCGCAGCAACCAUGAAUAACAAGCAACUUCACCAGGAAGAAGGUUCUUUUUGCUUGUAUUUAAAAAAUACUUCCUGAAAUUCAAUUACUGCAAACACUAACCUUUGUUUCGGUCAUCCUUCGGGCGCAGAUUCUGCGGGAGCUCACACUGAAGGGACUCCAAGGGUACAGGGUUUGUGGACAUUGCUCGCAGUGUUUAAAUUUCUCCUUUUACAAACUAAAAAAGAUUGACAGAGACACGGAGGUGUGCAGCUGCAGAGGUAUUUCAUGAAGGCCUCUUAGCAAAGAAAGGGGACUGAUGUUCAGAUGUUGGUCCUUGAGAAAUACAGUAUGUGUUGUGAUGGCCUGUAUGCACGUAGUACAGGGUUAUACAACCAAAGCUUCUAUCCUCCAGA